UCUUCCUCCUUUUCCCCAUUUUUCCUCCUUUCUCCCUUGGGUCCUGAUCCGUUUCUGUUUUGUCCUGUCUCUUUGGCUCUGUCUAUCACCUCUCCCUCAUGUGUCUCUCUCUCUCCCUGUCUCUCGCCCUCCUGCUUCACUUGCUUCUCCUGCCUGCACUCUGUUUGCUGAUUGCUGCAAUGAGUUUCAGCUGCAGCAAUCAGUUUACACUAUUCACCAGUUCUCCACCUCUCCUGCACCUAUUUAAGCUCUGCCCGUUCUUUCACUCCCUGCCGGAUCAUAGAUUCACAUUCCCUUCUUAGAUUCUGUUGCCCUCCGAGAUUCAGUUUCCACAUGGACUUUGCUUCUCCACCUUUGGACUCCGUUUUACCCCCUCCUGGAUUUUCCCCAUAUGGACUCAGUUCUCUUACCGGAUUCUCACCAGGCCUGCUUCAGUCUCCAGCCUGUUUUUCCUGCCUCGCCUCUGUCCGCCCCUGGUUUCCCUCAGCCUGUCUUCCCCCUCCGGUGUCAGUUCCCCCCAUCUUAGGUUGACGGUGAUGAGCGAUUUCAGCACUGAUCGAUUGCAGAUGAAGUGUUCAUGCUGAAGUUACGGCUGUCUAUGGAAUGAGAGGAGAAAAAAAAAAUCAAUGAAUGAAUGCUUGGAUCUCUUACCAUCCAUCAGAAAACUCCAAGAAUCCCUCUUUGUUCAAAUUAAAUAAAAAAGACUGAGAGAGAAAAGCAAAGCUGUUUAACUGUAUGCACAAAGCCAAUAAUAUCAAAAAAGCUGUCAGCUGACCAGUAUGUCGAUAUGUAAAUGGUCCAAAAAUAAGUUUAUUUGUUAUUUGGACGUAAAACAGCAUCCCCUUUCAUUGAUCAAACCUAUAAGUCACAAAGAAAGUAUCCCACCAGAUCAAAAAAUUGGGAUGAGAGGUUCUACAUUAGGUGCCAAAGUUUAGAACCUCCUCAGGGAGUGACAGGUGGAAAUUUCUUAUAUUUAUGGUCUGUUGCUGUCUUUGCUAUUGAAGCAUGUGGUGUCAUUAUCACAAAAAAAAAAAAAAAAAAAAUCACUGUAAGGAAAGUUAUCUACUGAUGUAGAUUUCAAAUGACUGCCAAUUUGUCUAGGACAAGUUUUCAGGAAAGUAACCUCAUAUCAGCUGUGAAACCUGGUGAUCCAAAUGUGAUGACUUGCCAAUGUUUUGGUGUGAAGCAUCAGCACUGGGGAGCUUGAAGUCACAGGUUCAGCUACACCAAUCAUAACAUUAUGACCACCUGCCUAAUAUAGUGUCGGUCCCCCUUUUGCUGCCAAAACAUCCCUGACCUGCCGAGGCACUCCACUAGACCCCUGAAGGUGUGCUGUGGUAUCUGGCACCAAGAUGUUAGCAGCAGAUCCUUAAAAGUCCUGUAAGUUGCAAGGUGGAGCCUCCAUGGAUCAGACUUGUUUGUCCAGCACAUCCCACAGAUGCUUGAUUGGAUUGAGAUCUGGGGAAUUUGGAGGCCAAGUGAACACCUCAAACUUUUUGUGCUCCUUCAACCAUUCCUGAACCAUUUUUUGCUGUGUGGCACAGCACAUUAUUCUGCUGAAAGAGGCCACAUCAGGGAACACAGUUUCCAUGAAAAGUGUCCAUGGUCUGCAACAAUGCUUAGAUAGGUAGUGUAAGUCAAAGUAACAUCCACAUGGAUGGCAGAACCCAAGGUUUCCCAGCAGAACAUUGCCCAAAGCAUCACACUGCCUCCACCGGCUUGCCUUCUUCCCAUAGUGUACCCUGGUGCCAUGUGUUCCUCAGGUAAGCAAUGCACACGCCAUCCACGUGAUUCAUCAGACCGCCACCUUCUUCCAUGGCUCUGUGGUCCAGUUCUGAUGCUCACGUGCUCAUUGUUGGUGCUUUCGGUGGUGCACAGGGGUCAGCAUGUGCACUCUGACUCAUCUGUGGCUAUGCAGCCCCAUAUGCAACAAACUGUGAUGCACUGUGUAUUCUGAUACCUUUCUAUCAGAGCCAGUAUUAAUUUUUUCAGUAAUUUGAGCAACAGUAGCUCAUCUGUUGGAUCGGACCACACGGGCCAGCCUUCACUCCUUACAUGCAUCAAUGAGCCUCUGUUCAUUCUUUGGACCACUUUUGAUAGAUAUUGACCACUGUGGAUCAGGAACAUCCCACAAGAGCUGCAGUUUUUGAGAUGCUCUGAUCCAGUCGUCCAGCCAUCACAAUUUGGUCCUUGUCAAACUCGCUAAAAUCCUUACGCUUGUCUAUUUGUGCUGCAACUAAUACAUCAACAAAACAUUCACUCACUGCCUAAUAUAUCCAACCGGCUAACAGGUGCCACAACAAAGAGAUAAUCAGUGUUAUUUACUUCAUCUGUCAGUGGUCAUAUUGUUGUGCCUGAUCGGUAUAUGAAUUCUGCAUCAUACCAGACUUUGAACAAAAGUUUGCAUGGAAAAACAGUAAAAAAAAUUAAAAAAUAAAUAAAUUUAACAAGCUAACUGAUGGACAGUUGUACAAAACUGCUGAAUUUGUGACCAUUACUGCCCGUCCCUGUAAUUUGCAUGUCCACAGCUGCAAACAUUUACCCUUGUGCAGCAUAUAGUUCCACUGAAUUUGUGCCUUUUCUGGUCUUGCAAGGAAAACAUGUCAUUUUUGAUCCUGUUCCUCUCAGUUUCCACUUGAUCUAUCAGAACUCAAAUCCAUUUCAAAGUGACUCUUACUUUAAAUUAUUCAUUUUUUUCUGCAGGUUAAAUGUUGUAUUUGUUCGACAGAACUGUUGUACAUCAAUAAAAGCACCUCGACAAUGCUGAGACAUUUCAGAGCGAGGCAUGAAAAUGAGGUCACAAAUGCACCCGGAAUAAACACAGCUUCCAAGAAGCAUGCAUUGGACCAGGCAGUUCUGAAUUUCAUCCUAAAGGACUGCCAACCUCUCAGCAUUGUUGAGAGUUAGGGGUUCAGGGAACUGCUUCAGGUCCUUGAGCCAUCAUAUGUUUUGCCAACCAGAAAGACUACCAAAGGAAUGGCCAAAAACAUAUGAGAAGGAACGAGAACGAGUGAAAAUGGAAGUACAGCAAACUGUGGCAGUGAGUAUAACAGCUGACGUGGACGUCUCUGAACACGUAGGCUUACUUGGCUCUUACCUGUCACUACAUUAAUGAGAAUAUGCAGUUGUGUACAUCUGUGUUGGGAGUGCAACACUUUCCACAAAGUCACAUUGCUGACAAUUUGGCCUGAGUCAAAAGGGGCAUGAUGGAUGACUGGGCCAUAACUAAUAAAGUAAAUUGUCUUGUGACCGAUGCAGCACCAAACAUGGUUUCAUCUGCAAGAAGUCUCCAAAUUCGGCAUUCAGUUCGCAUUGCACACACUCUCAAUUUAAAAGUAAAAAAAAAUCAUGUGAUCAAAUCCCUACACUUACAAUCAGACACAAAUCUAGCCAAACUGUAACACACUUCAGAUCAAGCACCAUAGCCAAAGAGAAGCUUGCUCAAAUGCAGCAACAGAUGGGACGGCCAACCCUGAAACUCACCAACGAGGUACCAACAUGCUGGAAUGGCACAUAGCAAAUGCUGGCGAGGCUACAUGAUGAGAAGGAACCAGUGUGGGUAUCUUUUGUCUCUAAAGAACAGACAUAACUCCACUUACAGCUGAUGAGUUUACCAUCAUAGGAGAAGCACUUCUUGUGCUUGCUCCUUUCCAUCAGGCUACAGUGGAGUUGUCUGAAGAGGAGAGUUUCAGGGUCAAAGGUCAUCCCCAUGAUGAAAAUGCUGUCUUGCACUUGAGUAUAAUGCUUCAAAUCUGCGCACACAGGCAGCAAUACACCUCCACUAACACUUUAGGCCAGUGGUUCCCAACCUGUUUGGCUUGGAGCCCCCCCUAAAAGCUGCACCCCCCCUUUGUUAUUGAAUUGUUCAGGAAAGCAUUUGGUUGACAAUUUCUUUCUUCCUCUCGUCUUGUAUAUGUAUUUUAUUGUAUUUAUUUUUUAUAUUUAAUGUAUUUUAUUGUUUGUUUUAUGCUCUCUGCUCCUCUGCUGUGCCCUGUGAGCGGGUGUUCUCUGAAGCUGGAGAAGUUGCAUUAAAAAAAAAAAAAAAAAAAAAAGGUAAUCGCCUGAAUUUCAAGACGUUGGAAAAACGUCUGUGUUUGAAUAAAAAUUUAUAAAAUGAAAAAAAAAACCUCCCUGCCUCAAAGACAAGUACAUAAGCAUCCUCACAUUCAGAGAACCCAGGUGCAGGCACAGAUAUGUUUUUAUUUAAACAAAACAGGAACUAAACCAAUACAGAGAAAGGAAAACCAAACGGGGGAAAACUAAACCAAAUCUAUACUAAAAUAAGUCACACUACAAAACCUACAAAAACCCACAGCUAAUCUACAAAAACCCAAACAGGGAUAAACUGAAGCAGGCAACGAUACAGACUUCCAAGAAGCAUGCAUUGGACCAGGCAGUUCUGAAUUUCAUCCUAAAGGACUGCCAACAGGUACUUACAAAACCAGGGAAGCUUAGCUACAGGGCCAAGGUAGGCAGACAGGGAACAAAAACAGGAACCGGGAGCAGAGUCCAUGGAGCUGAAGCAGUCGGGAGGUAAGCAGGGUUUGAUGGGGAGAACAGAAUCCAAGAGGGGAACCGAGUCUAUGCUCGGACGAGUAGUGACUGAAUGAACUUUAUAUUGCAUGAGGUGAUUGUGAACAGGUGUCCUGAGUGAGCUGAUUACUGCAGCUGACAGUCAUUGCAGUAAUCAGCAGGUAGCAGAAUGCAGGCAGGUGAAACAGGGAGCGCAGGAGGGCGAGUGAACAGGGACAGAGAGACAGGAGGGAGAGAUGACAGACAGAGGGAGCCAAACAAACAGACAGGUCAAAACAGAUAAACAGAUGAGGAACCAAGGGAGAAAGAAGGAAAAAGAGGGAUAAGGGGGAAGAAGGGCAGGGGCUGGAGCAGUGAUCAUAACACAAGGUUUGUUCUUUUUUUUAUAUAGUUUCAUAAUUGUGAAACUGCCCUAGAACCGAGGACAGUGAUAGCAGAGUGUAAAGUCUAUGAGCCAGUCACAAAUCCAUGGGAGGGGCCAUCUGGAUAAAUGCACUUCUGCAAUGGACAGUUCAAUGCUAAAGUUAAAUUGGAACUUGAAAGGUUAUUGGUAAAUGUGCCAGGCUGGGGUCACACUGAGGCCAGUACAACCAUUCUGGUGCAUGAUCUAAGUAUCUAUAAUGGAAUAGCAAAUGGGAUUUGGCUGCUUGUGGAAGAUGUAUAUGCAUAAUUGCCUAUGUAUGCCAUGUUGACAACAAAACCACAAACCACCUGUCAGUGGAGUCAAGUAGACAGCAUCCUCACAAUGUCUUCUUUAAAUGACUACACCCUUUAAAAAAAAAAAAAAAAAAAAAGUUAGAUCUAGCGAUUGAGCAGGCAAAGGCAUGGUUCCAAUGUUCUGGUUCUCCAUCCAGACUUUAAUUAACCUUGCCUUGUGGCAAGGGGCAUUGUCUUGUUGGAAAAUCCAGUCAUCAGAGGCAGGAAAGAGUUUUCCUGCUGAUGGAAGAAGACUGUUUUCAAGAGUAGCCCUGUACAUGAUCUGGUUGAUUCGCCCUUCACAAUAUUGCAUUUGCCCUGUUCCACUCAUACUGAAACAACCCCAGAUGGUCACUGAUCCACCCCCAUGUUUUACUGCAGGAGCAAGACAGUCUGGUUUGUAGGCUUCUCCAGGCUUCCUCCUAACCAGUAAGUUAGCUGGAGUGGGCAUCAACUGAAAAUUGGAAUUAUCACUGAAGAGAACCUUAGGACAAUCAUCAACAGUCCAAUCCUUCUGAUCCCAGCAAAGAGUAACUGGGCUUUCUUCUGUCUUUCAUUGAUGAAGUGCUUCUUCCGUGCCGUGUGACUUCAGACCAGCUUCAAGAAGUCAGUUUCCAACUGUCCUUGCCAAACAAGUCACAGGACAGUGUCCACUUAUUUUUAAUUUCCCUGAGGGGUCUGAUGAUGAUUCAUGACGCAGGAAUAGAUGAGUGCAUGGUCAUCUCGUGGGGUAGAAAGACGUUUCCUGCCGCGACCAGCUAGCAAUUUGGUAGUACCAUGUUGGGCUUGUUUUUUCUUUGUGUAAUGAAUGGCUGCCUUGGAGAUCUUCAGGUUUUUCGCUAGCUGUCUCUCACUCAUGCAAUUUCCAGCAGUGCCAAGAUGGCGGCCUUGUGGCAUCACAUAAUUCUUUUGUUUUAGGCAUUAUGUGAGAGCUGACAACUUGUGAGAAAUCACAGGGGUUUAUUAACAAAAACUCACAACAAAAACAAGGCAAUGGGAGGUCACCAAAAUGAAUGUUAAAUCAGUGUGUAAUUUUGCAAAAACUAUGCCAGACUUGUUUUCUCUGGACCCCUGCCCAAUCUGAUCAGUGGUGAUAUGUACCGCCGUAUGUCAUCAUUCAUCUCUGGCUGUUGAGGUGUUGUCCAGAAAACAAUUUGGGUUACAUAUAUCAUUGAUAAACUCUACUAGGGGAACCUGGAUUGAUUAAAACAGAUAGCAUCCAUCCCAUUUUGGAUGAUACGGCUGUCUAUUCUUGAGGAGUAUGGCAGAAUUUAAUAAAGAUUGUUAUUAAAAUGUCAUCAUAAAACAGGAAAAAUAAAUGUGUUUCAAUAAAUAUUAGAUGUCUAAAUCUAUGUUAGUUCAUUAUUCAAUAAAAGAUCAUCAUGUUGACUUGCUGUGUCUCACUGAAACCAGGUUGCAGCAUGAAGAAUUGAAACUGUUCAAGAAUGAGGGUCAGAUUAACAUGUCAUUUUUUACCACUGUUGUAAUUUCUGGUGUGUUCUUGUAGUGGCCAUAAAAUAGACGGGGCUUUAUUCAGUCUAGAAAACAGUAUGUAGCUUUACACACUUUCAGCUGGCUUGGGGCACUUUGAAAAGUUAAAGUUACAUUUUUACUAUGCCAGAAUAUUACACUGUGAAAUGAUGACCCUCCUUCUUCGCUCACCUCUGCACAUCGAGGCUACAGAGUGACCUGUGGACUGAGUAAGCUAGUGUAAACAGUGUACUUUGGACUGCUGAUAAAGUGGAGUAACAACGGUGCUGGAAAAAUCCAGAUGAAGCUGGAAUGACCUUACUACUGAAGACCAGCUGAGUCAGCAGCAAUACGCAAUACGUUGGACAACGUGACAAAUGCUUGGGAGAAAAGUUUAUUUGCAACCUUAAACAGCUAUUCAUAAACCUGAUUUCCAGCAGUUUUAUGGGGAUGGCCAAAAGAGCAUAAUGAUGACAUUCUGGGGCAGAAUUAUAGUCCAUUAUGCGAAUCACAAUUCUCAACACAAAUUUAGUUGAACUCAUGUAUCACAUGAUUAGUUGUACAUAUGGCUGCCCGAAUACAAAGUAUUCCACUUCCAAGUAUUCCAACCCAAGACUUAAUGCCAAACUCUCAAAUAUCUGCAUCCUGUUUUCACUUAGUUUGACUCACCAGGUGUAGGAUCUGGGUAUACUGUUUUCAAAAUCCCCUUCACUAUGCAAAACUACUACAACAACCUCCAGGUUGGCAACCUUGCACACUGAAAGUGUCAGUUUUUUGCUAAAUAUUUGGAUAACGAAGGAAGGCAGCCCUGUUACUUUUUUUCACUCUUUUUUCAUGACAGUGCUUGCCUUCCUCUGUGCAAGUGUUCCAGAACUAACCAAGACUGUUUUUCACUCUGAUUUUAUUAUGGAAGUACUUCCACCGCUUUGGUACUUCUUUCAGGAUGGUGCUUCGCUCAGUGCUCAUCUUUGGUCACCAUGCUGUCUUCUGUUCACAAAAUACGUUACACCCUCAAGAUACUUCGUAUAUCCAGUGAGCAGUGUUCUGUGUCACAACCAUUCUUUCGUUGAUUGAUUGGCGACCUGUAUAAUUUCUCUGACAAACAGAUGUGCCAAAUUAAGAUUGUUGAUGACAUUAGAUCAAAAGACUGCCACCCAAUGUUUUGAUUAGCUAGAAUUAAGCUCUUGGUUGUUACUCUGAGCUGGACCUGUCUUAGCUUUUAAGCUUGAAGUGUCAGUGAAGUUGCUUUUCUUGAAAUAUUGUGAUUUUUUGUACUGCAAAGCAUUUUUUUCCCUCCCCCAGGCUUGUAUAGAUAAACAUAAUUUACAGUAACUGACAAAUCUUGCAUUGAAAGCACUUUUUAAUGUUCUUUGUACCUCCUUUGUUGACUGUUUUCUCCAAAGCAAGUCACUGUGUUGAGUUUCUUUGUGUACUCCAAACAAUGUGGAACAGAUUUUAAACUUGGAAUAACAAUUACUUACCUAAAAUACUGCAAUCCAGAAAAGAGAGAACACUGGAACUGACCGCGUCUAUACAUGUAAUGAUAGCGUUAUGAAAAUGGCAAAACAGCACAUGGCUACAUUGGCAGAAUACUGGAUUGUAUUUGCAUACAAUUACAGCCUAUUGCAUUUUG
This is a long non-coding RNA of Amphiprion ocellaris (clown anemonefish), 8332 nucleotides long. RefSeq lists it as uncharacterized. The record is from RefSeq and is a predicted model, not a curated record. Lineage: Eukaryota; Metazoa; Chordata; Actinopteri; Pomacentridae. The transcript has 4 exons.